Long non-coding RNA from Enhydra lutris kenyoni (northern sea otter), 925 nucleotides. RefSeq lists it as uncharacterized. NCBI's taxonomy places the organism in Eukaryota, Metazoa, Chordata, Mammalia, Carnivora, Mustelidae. The record is from RefSeq and is a predicted model, not a curated record. The transcript has 5 exons.
GGGUGGGUUCCUGUUGUCUCUGCCUCAGUGUUUGAACUGAAUAAAUAUCUCCUACCGUUGGCACUUCUGGUUCUCAGUUUUCAGAUAUAGGCAAGAAUCUACACCAUCAGCUCUCCGGCUCUCACCACCUGCCUUCCUGGGUCUCCAGCUUGCAGAAGGCAGAUCAUAUGACUUCCCAGUCUUCAUAAUCGGAGGAACUGGCCAUGGGCUCCAUCCUGUGGAGUGAUCCACCACUAAUGUGUAGGUGGCAUCAAGAAGUGAGAGUGGGAAGUAUGGGGAAGGGACAAAAAUGAAAACUUCACGGCCUGCCUAUGCUUCAUGUUGGGAUAAAUCAGCACCACUUCUGUAUGCAGAGAAGAGAAUGCUCAGCUAAAACAGAACAGAGAAAAGGCAAGGCUUUUUUAAAGAAGACUCAAGAGGUAGUUAUGCGAAAGACUUGGAAAAAAAGACAAAUACAAAGUUCGUAUUUCCAGUUGAUAAGAAAGGCAGCAAGGUGCUUGGAGGAGGCUCUGAGGAGCUGCUUCUCAGAUUCCAAGGAGAGGGUGUUACCUGGGUGGUACUGGCACCUCUGACAGGAUGCAAUCAAGCCGUUUCUGAGAAUGCUGGAAAAAACUCGGAACUGCAAACAACUGGUGAUGCUGGGGUAAAAUGCAUGGCAAUGGUACCCACUGGGGCAACAAGGAGAGUGAGGAAGAGCAAGUCCUUUUGGGUUCCUCUCAUCUACCCAUCUUCCGCACUGCUUCCUAUGAACAGAGCCUAAUAUGGACCCACUUGGCAAAGGAAAAAUGUGGUGUUUGCAGAGCCUCAGCCUGAAGGAUUCGGAGCAGCAUAUAAAAGGCUGAGUUCAGGGAUGUGGAAGAACAUCAUUUGGCAAAGUCCUGAUACAAUCAGAGGAGAGACUGAAUAAAUGUAGCCUUGGACGAUC